GUUUUUUUUACCCCGAGCCUGGGGCGUGGCCACUGCCUGGGCCCCGCCCCGCUCCCUUGCCUCCGGCGGUGGGCGGUGGGGGUUGGGCUCCGUGUGCUUCCGCUAGGCGGGGACCCCGGCCGGUGGGACAUGUCUGAGAUGCGCUGAAGCCUUUUGCCGCGGUUCCAGCUGCACCUGGACGGUUACCUGCAGGCGCUGUUGUAGCUGUUCGGUUGUGGCUGGAAGAAGACCCCAGGGCUUGGCUCUAGUCUACAAGGUGCCUUCCUGUAAUAGGAGAGGCUAGAACACCAAAACCUGCAAUCCUGGCUCCUUCGCAGGUCCAACUCUGGAUGUGAGUUGGCUUCUGUCAAUUAGACACGUUCAAGUGAGAUUUGGAAGGGCAGAAAUCAGAAAGGAAAAUCAAGGACAUAUCCUAAAUUAGAAGACAAGAAAUCCUUGUGAAAAUAUAUUAAUCUGUGUCAGCAAACAAGGGCAAAAAUCGAAAAAGAAGACAUGGGAUACAAGAACACAGUAACUAACCAAGAGUCCAGUAAAGAACAAUGCCAAGAUGUGGCAGAUCUGGAAGGCAUCUAUCUCCCGAGGACAUAAGUCAGUGGGCUCCAUGUAUUCAAAGAACGGAAGUAUUUCAUGCUAUGGAUGGAUAAAAGAGGCACAUAUGUCUUCUCUUCAGUAGGGAAAAAGAAAGGCAAUUGG
Long non-coding RNA from Mirounga angustirostris (Northern elephant seal), 693 nucleotides. RefSeq lists it as uncharacterized. The transcript has 3 exons. NCBI's taxonomy places the organism in Eukaryota, Metazoa, Chordata, Mammalia, Carnivora, Phocidae. The record is from RefSeq and is a predicted model, not a curated record.